This 556-nucleotide small RNA is filed under the name Histoplasma capsulatum. RNAcentral describes it as "hypothetical RNA". RNAcentral also lists the same sequence under 1 other name. Lineage: Eukaryota; Fungi; Ascomycota; Eurotiomycetes; Onygenales; Ajellomycetaceae. The record is from RNAcentral.
UAUUUAAUUAUCCACAUGAUGAUACGGUAGAAAAGGAUUUUUUGCAGAUAUAUCUAUUUUCAAAGUCCUUUACACACAUUCCUCUAGAGGAUAUUUCCCUUCCUUCAAACAACAUAGCGUAUACUGCAACCACAAAACAAUUUGAUAUCUACAAAUAUAUAUACUAUCCAUUGAAACAGAUGCUGAUUGAAAGCUUUGUUAAGACUGCAAAUUGAUGAAGAAAGAGAGUCAGGUUAUUUCACAUGAGGUGAGUCAUUGAGAUCCUGGAUAUCUAUGAUGAUAGAAUACCUAGAGGUCAAUAAUGAUGUUCUUGAUCAUUGUUCAGAGAAACAUGCAGUGGAAUGGUAUAAUAUCAACUUUGAUUGAAUUCAUGAGGUCAAAUUUGGUUCUAUGGAUCAAUGCAUUUCGAAACACCUUGGCUCAGACAGAGAGCUACCAAAGAUAUGAGAGGGAAUCUCUCGGAACUGGAUAAUGUCCGAAUAUUGACCCAAAUACUGAAUAUCAAUAGAUAAUUGAAUUGACUAUGAUCACUCUGGUAAUUACAUGAUAACUGGGC